RNAcentral lists this ribosomal RNA (1538 nucleotides) under Enterobacter cloacae. RNAcentral's name for it is "bacterial SSU rRNA". It matches the Rfam family "Bacterial small subunit ribosomal RNA". The record is from RNAcentral. Lineage: Bacteria; Pseudomonadati; Pseudomonadota; Gammaproteobacteria; Enterobacterales; Enterobacteriaceae.
AAAUUGAAGAGUUUGAUCAUGGCUCAGAUUGAACGCUGGCGGCAGGCCUAACACAUGCAAGUCGAACGGUAGCACAGAGAGCUUGCUCUCGGGUGACGAGUGGCGGACGGGUGAGUAAUGUCUGGGAAACUGCCUGAUGGAGGGGGAUAACUACUGGAAACGGUAGCUAAUACCGCAUAACGUCGCAAGACCAAAGAGGGGGACCUUCGGGCCUCUUGCCAUCAGAUGUGCCCAGAUGGGAUUAGCUAGUAGGUGGGGUAACGGCUCACCUAGGCGACGAUCCCUAGCUGGUCUGAGAGGAUGACCAGCCACACUGGAACUGAGACACGGUCCAGACUCCUACGGGAGGCAGCAGUGGGGAAUAUUGCACAAUGGGCGCAAGCCUGAUGCAGCCAUGCCGCGUGUAUGAAGAAGGCCUUCGGGUUGUAAAGUACUUUCAGCGGGGAGGAAGGUGUUGUGGUUAAUAACCGCAGCAAUUGACGUUACCCGCAGAAGAAGCACCGGCUAACUCCGUGCCAGCAGCCGCGGUAAUACGGAGGGUGCAAGCGUUAAUCGGAAUUACUGGGCGUAAAGCGCACGCAGGCGGUCUGUCAAGUCGGAUGUGAAAUCCCCGGGCUCAACCUGGGAACUGCAUUCGAAACUGGCAGGCUAGAGUCUUGUAGAGGGGGUAGAAUUCCAGGUGUAGCGGUGAAAUGCGUAGAGAUCUGGAGGAAUACCGGUGGCGAAGGCGGCCCCUGGACAAAGACUGACGCUCAGGUGCGAAAGCGUGGGGAGCAAACAGGAUUAGAUACCCUGGUAGUCCACGCCGUAAACGAUGUCGAUUUGGAGGUUGUGCCCUUGAGGCGUGGCUUCCGGAGCUAACGCGUUAAAUCGACCGCCUGGGGAGUACGGCCGCAAGGUUAAAACUCAAAUGAAUUGACGGGGGCCCGCACAAGCGGUGGAGCAUGUGGUUUAAUUCGAUGCAACGCGAAGAACCUUACCUGGUCUUGACAUCCACAGAACUUUCCAGAGAUGGAUUGGUGCCUUCGGGAACUGUGAGACAGGUGCUGCAUGGCUGUCGUCAGCUCGUGUUGUGAAAUGUUGGGUUAAGUCCCGCAACGAGCGCAACCCUUAUCCUUUGUUGCCAGCGGUUAGGCCGGGAACUCAAAGGAGACUGCCAGUGAUAAACUGGAGGAAGGUGGGGAUGACGUCAAGUCAUCAUGGCCCUUACGACCAGGGCUACACACGUGCUACAAUGGCGCAUACAAAGAGAAGCGACCUCGCGAGAGCAAGCGGACCUCAUAAAGUGCGUCGUAGUCCGGAUUGGAGUCUGCAACUCGACUCCAUGAAGUCGGAAUCGCUAGUAAUCGUAGAUCAGAAUGCUACGGUGAAUACGUUCCCGGGCCUUGUACACACCGCCCGUCACACCAUGGGAGUGGGUUGCAAAAGAAGUAGGUAGCUUAACCUUCGGGAGGGCGCUUACCACUUUGUGAUUCAUGACUGGGGUGAAGUCGUAACAAGGUAACCGUAGGGGAACCUGCGGUUGGAUCACCUCCUUA